RNAcentral lists this ribosomal RNA (261 nucleotides) under uncultured bacterium. RNAcentral's name for it is "partial 16S ribosomal RNA". It matches the Rfam family "Bacterial small subunit ribosomal RNA", at positions 524 to 784 of the family's 1533-position model. The record is from RNAcentral.
UACGAAGGGUGCAAGCGUUAAUCGGAAUUACUGGGCGUAAAGCGCGCGUAGGUGGUUCAGCAAGUUGGAUGUGAAAGCCCUGGGCUCAACCUGGGAACUGCAUCCAAAACUACUGAGCUAGAGUACGGUAGGGGGUAGUGGAAUUUCCUGUGUAGCGGUGAAAUGCGUAGAUAUCGGGAGGAAUACCGGUGGCGAAGGCGACCACCUGGCCAAAUACUGACGCUGAGGUGCGAAAGCGUGGGGAGCAAACAGGAUUAGAAA